This 1045-nucleotide long non-coding RNA is filed under the name Populus trichocarpa (black cottonwood). RNAcentral's name for it is "long non-coding RNA (PTRI_LNC000738)". The record is from RNAcentral. Lineage: Eukaryota; Viridiplantae; Streptophyta; Magnoliopsida; Malpighiales; Salicaceae.
GCUUACAUGGUUGUUAACUUUAGAAUUAGUAUAAUUAGUCAAGGUACGCCCAAGUUAAUCCAAACAUUCAUAUUAAUUAAAAAAACAAAAAAUAAUAAGUGACAUAUCCUACAAUGUGGCAUGGAACACCAUCUAAUUAUGUUUACUAUGGAUCUAGAGAUAAUUUAUUAUGGAUUUGCACAAAGAUAUUAGCUUCUUCUUUCUCUCUUCUUACCGUGAUUUUGUUUCUCCCUUUCCUCUCUCCUCAUCUCCCGGAAUUCACCUGACCGAUUUUGUUGUUCUUCUUUCCUCUCUCUCACAUGCCUGUUUUCCCUCUCUACACAACCUCUCUUUCCAAACAAUCACACACCUUUUGUCUUCUUCGCCGUCGAUGACCAAUGCAGCUCCCGACUACACACGAUCGAUGAUGGGUAGAUACUGGGUUGUUCAUUGCCUUUCUGAGAUCUAAGGGGCUGCUUAUUUUGCUUUAUAGAUACUGGGUUGUUCGUUUGGGAUUGCCUAUGGCGGAAAAUUUGAAAACUUCCUGGCAAUCCUCACUCACACCCACUCUUAUGUCUCCCUUGCUUUCAAUUCAUGAUCUGCUUUUAUUGUUGUUCUAUCUAUGUUUUGGGCUGCUUCUCCAUCUAUAUUUGCACCUUUUCCUCCUCUUUAAACCGCGAAUUUCAUCCCCCAACCUAUGUUGAUCAGGAUCUUAUUUUUCAGCUAUGAAUUUGUAUCAUCAACCCUAGCCUGGCAAUCGUGUGAUAAUCAAAUAACUCAAUUGACAAUGUUUAUUGAUUUUUUCUUGCAGUCAUGGAACUAAUUCGGUCGUUUUCUUUUUAAUUGAUUUGUUCUUGCAUUGUUGGGUUCUUUCUCAUCUUUUCUUCACAUUAAUUGUCAUAUAACCCUACGUAUGAAGAAGGAAAUUUUCUGUUUUUUUACUCUUUUUUUUCUUGCAUUGUUUUUUCAUGCUUCGAGUGCUGCAACUUAUUAUUGGAGCUUGGGUUUCCCAAUUUUUCUUUACAUCUCUAGCUUUUAUCUGUUGUGUUUGGCCAUUUAUUUGCAG